This 2926-nucleotide ribosomal RNA is filed under the name Escherichia coli. RNAcentral describes it as "23S ribosomal RNA". It matches the Rfam family "Bacterial large subunit ribosomal RNA". Lineage: Bacteria; Pseudomonadati; Pseudomonadota; Gammaproteobacteria; Enterobacterales; Enterobacteriaceae. The record is from RNAcentral.
GGGUUGUGAGGUUAAGCGACUAAGCGUACACGGUGGAUGCCCUGGCAGUCAGAGGCGAUGAAGGACGUGCUAAUCUGCGAUAAGCGUCGGUAAGGUGAUAUGAACCGUUAUAACCGGCGAUUUCCGAAUGGGGAAACCCAGUGUGAUUCGUCACACUAUCAUUAACUGAAUCCAUAGGUUAAUGAGGCGAACCGGGGGAACUGAAACAUCUAAGUACCCCGAGGAAAAGAAAUCAACCGAGAUUCCCCCAGUAGCGGCGAGCGAACGGGGAGGAGCCCAGAGCCUGAAUCAGUGUGUGUGUUAGUGGAAGCGUCUGGAAAGGCGCGCGAUACAGGGUGACAGCCCCGUACACAAAAAUGCACAUACUGUGAGCUCGAUGAGUAGGGCGGGACACGUGGUAUCCUGUCUGAAUAUGGGGGGACCAUCCUCCAAGGCUAAAUACUCCUGACUGACCGAUAGUGAACCAGUACCGUGAGGGAAAGGCGAAAAGAACCCCGGCGAGGGGAGUGAAAAAGAACCUGAAACCGUGUACGUACAAGCAGUGGGAGCCUCUUUAUGGGGUGACUGCGUACCUUUUGUAUAAUGGGUCAGCGACUUAUAUUCUGUAGCAAGGUUAACCGAAUAGGGGAGCCGAAGGGAAACCGAGUCUUAACUGGGCGUUAAGUUGCAGGGUAUAGACCCGAAACCCGGUGAUCUAGCCAUGGGCAGGUUGAAGGUUGGGUAACACUAACUGGAGGACCGAACCGACUAAUGUUGAAAAAUUAGCGGAUGACUUGUGGCUGGGGGUGAAAGGCCAAUCAAACCGGGAGAUAGCUGGUUCUCCCCGAAAGCUAUUUAGGUAGCGCCUCGUGAAUUCAUCUCCGGGGGUAGAGCACUGUUUCGGCAAGGGGGUCAUCCCGACUUACCAACCCGAUGCAAACUGCGAAUACCGGAGAAUGUUAUCACGGGAGACACACGGCGGGUGCUAACGUCCGUCGUGAAGAGGGAAACAACCCAGACCGCCAGCUAAGGUCCCAAAGUCAUGGUUAAGUGGGAAACGAUGUGGGAAGGCCCAGACAGCCAGGAUGUUGGCUUAGAAGCAGCCAUCAUUUAAAGAAAGCGUAAUAGCUCACUGGUCGAGUCGGCCUGCGCGGAAGAUGUAACGGGGCUAAACCAUGCACCGAAGCUGCGGCAGCGACACUUAUGUGUUGUUGGGUAGGGGAGCGUUCUGUAAGCCUGUGAAGGUGUACUGUGAGGUAUGCUGAAGGUAUCAGAAGUGCGAAUGCUGACAUAAGUAACGAUAAAGCGGGUGAAAAGCCCGCUCGCCGGAAGACCAAGGGUUCCUGUCCAACGUUAAUCGGGGCAGGGUGAGUCGACCCCUAAGGCGAGGCCGAAAGGCGUAGUCGAUGGGAAACAGGUUAAUAUUCCUGUACUUGGUGUUACUGCGAAGGGGGGACGGAGAAGGCUAUGUUGGCCGGGCGACGGUUGUCCCGGUUUAAGCGUGUAGGCUGGUUUUCCAGGCAAAUCCGGAAAAUCAAGGCUGAGGCGUGAUGACGAGGCACUACGGUGCUGAAGCAACAAAUGCCCUGCUUCCAGGAAAAGCCUCUAAGCAUCAGGUAACAUCAAAUCGUACCCCAAACCGACACAGGUGGUCAGGUAGAGAAUACCAAGGCGCUUGAGAGAACUCGGGUGAAGGAACUAGGCAAAAUGGUGCCGUAACUUCGGGAGAAGGCACGCUGAUAUGUAGGUGAAGCGACUUGCUCGUGGAGCUGAAAUCAGUCGAAGAUACCAGCUGGCUGCAACUGUUUAUUAAAAACACAGCACUGUGCAAACACGAAAGUGGACGUAUACGGUGUGACGCCUGCCCGGUGCCGGAAGGUUAAUUGAUGGGGUUAGCGGUAACGCGAAGCUCUUGAUCGAAGCCCCGGUAAACGGCGGCCGUAACUAUAACGGUCCUAAGGUAGCGAAAUUCCUUGUCGGGUAAGUUCCGACCUGCACGAAUGGCGUAAUGAUGGCCAGGCUGUCUCCACCCGAGACUCAGUGAAAUUGAACUCGCUGUGAAGAUGCAGUGUACCCGCGGCAAGACGGAAAGACCCCGUGAACCUUUACUAUAGCUUGACACUGAACAUUGAGCCUUGAUGUGUAGGAUAGGUGGGAGGCUUUGAAGUGUGGACGCCAGUCUGCAUGGAGCCGACCUUGAAAUACCACCCUUUAAUGUUUGAUGUUCUAACGUUGGCCCCUGAUCGGGGUUGCGGACAGUGUCUGGUGGGUAGUUUGACUGGGGCGGUCUCCUCCUAAAGAGUAACGGAGGAGCACGAAGGUUGGCUAAUCCUGGUCGGACAUCAGGAGGUUAGUGCAAUGGCAUAAGCCAGCUUGACUGCGAGCGUGACGGCGCGAGCAGGUGCGAAAGCAGGUCAUAGUGAUCCGGUGGUUCUGAAUGGAAGGGCCAUCGCUCAACGGAUAAAAGGUACUCCGGGGAUAACAGGCUGAUACCGCCCAAGAGUUCAUAUCGACGGCGGUGUUUGGCACCUCGAUGUCGGCUCAUCACAUCCUGGGGCUGAAGUAGGUCCCAAGGGUAUGGCUGUUCGCCAUUUAAAGUGGUACGCGAGCUGGGUUUAGAACGUCGUGAGACAGUUCGGUCCCUAUCUGCCGUGGGCGCUGGAGAACUGAGGGGGGCUGCUCCUAGUACGAGAGGACCGGAGUGGACGCAUCACUGGUGUUCGGGUUGUCAUGCCAAUGGCACUGCCCGGUAGCUAAAUGCGGAAGAGAUAAGUGCUGAAAGCAUCUAAGCACGAAACUUGCCCCGAGAUGAGUUCUCCCUGACUCCCUGAGAGUCCUGAAGGAACGUUGAAGACGACGACGUUGAUAGGCCGGGUGUGUAAGCGCAGCGAUGCGUUGAGCUAACCGGUACUAAUGAACCGUGAGGCUUAACCUUACAACGCCGAAG